Molecule: transfer RNA, 74 nt
Filed under: Bacteroidales bacterium
Lineage: Bacteria; Pseudomonadati; Bacteroidota; Bacteroidia; Bacteroidales
Also listed under: 2 other names
Description: tRNA-Met
Rfam family: tRNA
About the family: Transfer RNA (tRNA) molecules are approximately 80 nucleotides in length.
Source: RNAcentral
GGCGAGAUAGCUCAGAUGGUUAGAGCGCGUGAUUCAUAAUCACGAGGUCCCGAGUUCAAUUCUCGGUCUCGCUA